UACAGCUACGCCUGAAGACCACGCUGUUAUGCACUGGAUGUCAGACACCGUGCAGAAGCAGCCGCACGGCAGGUCUGAGAGUCAGUAGCAAGGCAUCCACCGGCCAGUGCCCUGGAGGCUGCCGCCCCACACCUGCCCCUGGCCACAGCCUCCUGCACCAAAUCAGAUGACACACGCUCUGGGCAAACAUCGACAGCGGCUGGCCGCUGGGACUCAGAGCAGGCCCAGGCCCCGACAGUGUGCACAGACAGGGAAGGCACCUUUACUACGGUCCUCCCAUCUCAGCCUUCGUGGUGAACUGACCUGGGAAGACGGCACCGCAGUCAGUGUGUGGGCACGUGGGCCAGCACCGGGCCCCUCCUCCCAGUGUGGGCGUGAGAGGCCUGACACAUCCCAGGCCAAUCUCCCUGUCUCCACACACACGUCAGGCAGCUGGCUUCCCCACAGCUUCCACAACUACAGAGCUGUGGGGCAGGCGCUGGUGGUCACGUGCGCGCCAGCCACCAUGUCCAUGUACUGGACCUGGCUGGACAGGCUGGUCACCGCCGCCGGGUAGAAGCUGGAGUUCCUGAUUUUCAGGGUGGCCUGUGUCAGGGCGAAGGAUAGAGCGUGUGUCACGUCUUGGGCCCUGGACCGACCGGACCACCUGGGACGCGAGGCCCUGAGCCUCACCCUGAUGUCAAGGAUGACCAGACUCCCGUCUGUCGAAUGCCACUCUCACCACCUUAACAGCGUCGUCAUCCACCAGGACCGAGUGUGGGAACAGAAGAAAACCACCAAGCCUGACGCCAGGAGGCAGAGCACCGACAGGAGACACGCUGCUGUCACCUUCUGUCUCAUCUGUCCCCCAGGGGCAGGAGUGGGUGCGGGCAGAUGCUGAGUGCUGGGACCCCAUGGCCGGGAAGCACCACUCAGAGCUUGUCCUAGAGAGGGGCACUGGGUGGCGUCAGUGUCCGCCGAGGCCUGUAGAGGGUGGGCACGGGAUCACGCUGGGUGCACCGAGACCUCCCGCGCAGGAAGCGCGAGUGUGGUGUGGCCAGCGGGGGAGGGGCGAUCGGCGACUCUCAGAGUCUGCGGAGACCACGGGGAGCCGGUGUGCACCCAGACCUCCCGCGCUUCGAGUGUGGUGUGGCCAGCGGGGGAGGGGCGAUCGGCGACUCUGUCAGUGUCUGCGGAGACCACGGGGAGCCGGUGUGCACCCAGACUUCCCGCGCUUCGAGUGUGGUGUGGCCAGCGGGGGAGGGGCGAUCGGCGACUCUCAGAGUCUGCGGAGACCACGGGGAGCCGGUGUGCACCCAGACCUCCCGCGCUUCGAGUGUGGUGUGGCCAGUGGGGGAUGGCCGAUUGGUGACUUUGUCAGUGUCUGCGGAGACCACGGGGAGCCGGUGUGCACCGAGACCUCCCGCGCAGGAAGCACGAGUGUGGUGUGGCCAGCGGGGGAGGGGCGAUCGGUGACUCUCAGUGUCUGCGGAGACCAGGGGGCACCGGCUCACAUCUGCGCCCGCCCCAGCGAUUCCAGCGGCAGCCCCACCGCGCUGGGCCCUCUCUUGGCCGCAGGCCCGGCCUCGUCUCUUCCUCUCCACCCUCCUGGAGAAAACCUCCCGGACAACAGGCACAAGUUAGGACCGGCCUUGGCAGUUCCCAGCUCUUGAUUAGCCCCGCGGCCGCCAGGUCCGCCACGUCUACCCCAGCCUCCCACUAGACACUUGCCGCCUGCCUCGUGUCCCGGGCUGCGCGAUCCUGCGCGCGUGCGCGGACGCGGGGGAGGGGGCUCGCGCGGCACCCUCGUGCGCAGGCGCGGACCGGAAGACGGCCUCGGGGCGGCGGUGCGCAGGCGCAGACGCGGUGGGGGGGGAGGGCGGCUCGGAGAGUCCGUGCGCUCGCGCGUGCGCUCUCCGCAGUUCCGAGUCUUCCUCCUGCCGCGUAGCUGUCGCGCCCCCUUGACGCCGGUAGAGGGCGGCAGAGAGCGGGAGACCGGCGCACCCCGGGGGGCGCUUCCGGGGCCGUCUCCGGGCCGGGUGGGCAGCGGCGUCCGUGCGGCUGGAGGGCGCUCGGCGAGGCGGCGCGCGCCUGGGCUCGCAGCUCUGCCCCGGGGCAGCGUCCGGGCGGCGGCCAAGUGGGCAGGCGAGGCUGCCGCCAGCACGCGGGAGCCGCCGCCGCUGAGCCUGCGCGGAGCUGGCGCCCACAUCUCUCCUGGGUGCUGGGUCAACACCUGCCUGCCUGGAGGCUGGUCUCUGACGGGCGCCGCGGGGCACGUUCUGGCCCCUGCGGUUGGUGGGGACUUCCAGGAAAGCGUGAAGACGAUGGAGGCUCACUGGCCCUCGAGUUCUCCCUUCCGCUUUGCAUUUGCACUUGCUCUGGAGGUGGGGCAGCCAUCUUGUGACCACGGGAGGAAGCCGAGCGCAGGGAGGAGUCUGGAUCCCUGAUGGCGCCUGGAGCGGUGACCUGGGCCCCCCGGAGUUGUGUGCCGCCUUUUUGGGCGGUGCAGUUCUGACAGAGAGAGCGGCACUAGCAGACUGACGGCACCCCCAGGGCGCAGGCCCUUGCCCGCCUCCCAGGUUAGGCUGAGGCACUUGGAAAUGAGCCCAUCCUGCCAGUGGCCUGCUGAGGACCGGAGCCGCAUCCCCCGUGGAGAGGGGGCGCGUGAGGUGG
Oryctolagus cuniculus (rabbit) is the source of this 2652-nucleotide long non-coding RNA. NCBI's taxonomy places the organism in Eukaryota, Metazoa, Chordata, Mammalia, Lagomorpha, Leporidae. The record is from Ensembl.